Molecule: non-coding RNA, 2221 nt
Organism: Bactrocera oleae (olive fruit fly)
Lineage: Eukaryota; Metazoa; Arthropoda; Insecta; Diptera; Tephritidae
Source: RefSeq, a predicted model, not a curated record
GUCGAAGGUCAUUCGGUACUGGAGAUGGUAGAGGAUGAGAGCAAUGAUUUGUGUUUAGAGUUAGGUGUCAUUCGCCCCGGUUUGGUGGGGACAGUCCCUUAUUCCGAGUUAAGCGUCCCGGGCUCAGAAAUUAAAUUUAAAAAAUUCUCAAUAAACGGAACAAAGUAGAUGGCCCACCCUGUAUACUCCAUUUCUUCAUUCAACAUUUGGUUUAAAUGGCGCGAACGUCAGCGUUGUUCACUGACAACAUUCAAAGUGAAACACAAGAUAAUUUAUGAAUUUUAAGUAUUAAUAAUUACGAAUAAAUAUUACUUUGUGAAUUGUUGAAACAAAAGGGUUCUUUCAACUAUAAUUUGAAGAAACAGUAAUUUUUUAAAAGCCACUUAUGGCGAUUCCAACGUUUGUUGCGUCAAAUGUAAUGCAACUUUUUCUGUUGCUGCUGGAGGCAUUGAUAUUGAUAAUCAUUUGAAUACAAAGAAGAACAAAGUGGCAGCAAAUGCAAACUUCAAUCAUAUCAGAUUUUUGCAUCGGAGAUAAACCAGAUUUGAGAGAGAAUCACAGUGUUAGAUUUUUCAAACUUUUUAUUGUAGAUGAAACGACUGCGCAAGCAAAAUAUUUCGAACCUGUUUCCAAAUGAAAAAAAUUUCGUGUUCAAGAACAAAAAGUGAAUCGAUAAUAACCAAUGUUUUUGCACCAUUCGCUUUGGAAUGCCUGAAGUCUGAUAUACAGAAAGCCCGAUUCGUUAGUUUCUUCCAUUAUCUGGAAUGAAUAUUAAAAUAAUUGAACUUUGUCCAGAAAAAGGUGAAACGUCGGAUAUGAAUUUUUCAUUGAUUAAAGGGUCUUGGAAACUUUCGAUUUAACUGAUAAAUUGAUCGCUUAUUUCUGCCGCGUUGAUUAUAAAAGUUAAGAAAAAUUAAAAAAAAUUAAAAUCGAACAUAGUUGGCGUAGGUUGUGCAAAGCAUGUUGUGCAUAGUACGAUUCUUAACGCAUGUAAUGCACUUGAUGUUGAAAUAGAGAGCAUUGUUGUUCAGAUCUACACUCAUUUUACAUCCACACAAUUCGCACAGAAACAUUAAAGUCAAUCUGUAAGAUUUAUGAAGACGAAUACGAUCAACUGGUUUGUUACUGCAAAACUCGGUUCAUUGGCUUGAGAUAAGCUUUGCGGAAAAUCAAUCGAAUGUUCCAACCUUUGAAAACGUAUUUCUACGACCUUCCUUUGCCCCUCAAUAAAGCCAGAUGUAUCCGACUUUCUUUCAGUAAUCCACUAUCCAAGCUUUGGUUCAUUAUUGUUCAUGAACAGGUUAGUUACCUUGUAACAUUUAAUGAACAAUUUGCAAACAUCCAACCAAAACAAUUACUUUCCGUUGCAAGUAAAAGCGGAAAUAGAGAACCUGAGGAAAGAACACUAUGACUUGAUGCAAUUUUAAGUAAAUGCGAAACAAUUUCAAAUUUUGUUUUCUCAUUUUGAAUUGUCUUCAAUUUGUCAAUCAGGUGAUUGCUACGAACAUCAUGAGGCAUGGACUCAACAGUUGGCUCAUGUAAAACUAUUUGGUUGCUACUCACUGAUAAACUCGCUGGGAAAAAAAUGAGAAAACGUUUAUUUUCCUUACAGAAAAUAAUAUAAUAUUCUUCGCGUGGAUCGUGUUCAAGCCUAGUAUGACCACGUCUCAAUCCACCAGCACAAAAUUCAACGGUGCGUUUUGAAGUUGAUGACUCCUUAUACACUUCUAACAAUUGUUCAUAAAUUUCCUUUGCUUUUAAACUUUUAAAACAAAUAAUCUAAUCACUGCGAGAUAUUAAAUGUUUUCCAUAUAAAAAAAAUAUUCUGACACGUCAAAUGGCCUGUCAAAUGGCCUGUAAACAAAGAAUUAUUGACAGAAUGACUUGCAACAAAUUUGGAGCUGGUGGCGCUCCUUCUCCAAGAAAUCGCAAACAAGCUGAUAGUUAUACAAUGGUAUCUAUUGGAAAAUGCUUACUCUCCAUUGGCAAUUUAUUUUGUAACACUUUCAACAAGUAUUAAAACGUGGGCUUAUUCAUUCUGUAUAACUAUUUAAAACUAUAAAUUAAGGUAGAAAUGAUUUAAAAAUUAAAUAAAAUUUAUCUUGUAUUGGGUAAUUCAAAAAGAUUGGUAUUGUCUCUUAAAUUACUUCGGUAAAUCCUUUCAGCCAACUGCUGGCGGGAAUUGUUUUCCUUUUCCAAUAUACGAAGUCGCAAGUAUACA